RNAcentral lists this ribosomal RNA (468 nucleotides) under uncultured bacterium. RNAcentral describes it as "partial 16S ribosomal RNA". It matches the Rfam family "Bacterial small subunit ribosomal RNA", at positions 28 to 507 of the family's 1533-position model. The record is from RNAcentral.
GACGAACGCUGGCGGCGUGCUUAACACAUGCAAGUCGAACGGAAAGGCCCUGCUUUUGUGGGGUUCUCGAGUGGCGAACGGGUGAGUAACACGUGAGUAACCUGCCCUUGACUUUGGGAUAACUUCAGGAAACUGGGGCUAAUACCGGAUAGGAUCUCCUGCUGCAUUGUGGGCGUUGGAACGUUUCGGCGGUUGGGGAUGGACUGGCGGCUGAUCAGCUUGUUGGUGGGGUAGUGGCUUACCAAGGCUUUGACGGGUAGCCGGCCUGAGAGGGUGACCGGCGACAUUGGGACUGAGAUACGGACCAGACUCCUACGGGAGGCAGCAGUGGGGAAUAUUGCACAAUGGGAGGAAGCCUGAUGAAGAAACGCCGCGUGCGGGAUGCCGGCCUUCGGGUUGUAAAACGCUUUCGCCUGUGACGAAGCGUGAGUGACGGUAAUGGGUAAAGAAGCACCGGCUAACUACGUG